UACGAGGGGGGCAAAUGUUGUUCGGAAUCACUGGGCGUAAAGGGAGCGUAGGCGGGUUCUUAAGUUAGGUGUUUAAUCCCGGGGCCCAACCCCGGACCGGCACUUAAAACUGGGAAUCUUGAAUAGUGGAGAGGUCGGUGGAAUUGGAGGUGUAGCGGUGGAAUGCGUAGAGAUCUCCAAGAACACCAGUUGCGAAGGCGGCCGACUGG
This 209-nucleotide ribosomal RNA is filed under the name uncultured prokaryote. RNAcentral describes it as "partial 16S ribosomal RNA". It matches the Rfam family "Bacterial small subunit ribosomal RNA", at positions 524 to 732 of the family's 1533-position model. The record is from RNAcentral.